RNAcentral lists this ribosomal RNA (321 nucleotides) under uncultured eukaryote. RNAcentral describes it as "partial 18S ribosomal RNA". It matches the Rfam family "Eukaryotic small subunit ribosomal RNA", at positions 1470 to 1796 of the family's 1831-position model. The record is from RNAcentral.
CCCUUAGAUGUUCUGGGCCGCACGCGUGCUACACUGAGUGGAUCAGCGGGUCAGGUUGCGCGAAAGCGUUUCCUAAUCUUUAAAUCCGCUCGUGAUGGGGAUUGACGGUUGCAAUUUUCUGUCAUGAACGAGGAAUACCUUGUAAGCGCGGGUCAUCAUCCCGCGCUGAAUACGUCCCUGCCCUUGUACACACCGCCCGUCGCUCCUACCGAUUGAGUGGUCCGGUGAGGCUUUGGGAUCUGAGCGGAAAGAGCGUUUCGCUGUUUCUGCUCGGAAAACUCAGUCGAACCUUAUCAUUUAGAGGAAGGAGAAGUCGUAACA